GGUUUUUAACUGCCAUUUUGAGUGGCCGUUUCUUCUCUCAAGCUGUUACCACCACGCACUCCUGCGGGCAUCUACACGAAGCCCAACUCGAAAACCGCACGUGGAUUACAAGCGACAGAGAAACCCUCGAUCGCCGCGGUCGAUUCAGACAUCACAGCAACGAGCCACGCGUGGGCCACUCUUCCCGCGCCAGCGCGAUUCUUUCAGGGUGAUGAACGACAGGGUCGGACGCAGACGAGGACGCGAACUUCCCUCUGCACUCCCCACAGCUUCCGAUUCCACGUCCUCCCUCUGCCACCGCCAACACUGCCCGAGUCCCUUCCCUUUCCCCAGCCGUCAAAUCCAGA
This is a long non-coding RNA of Lethenteron reissneri (Far Eastern brook lamprey), 347 nucleotides long. RefSeq lists it as uncharacterized. NCBI's taxonomy places the organism in Eukaryota, Metazoa, Chordata, Hyperoartia, Petromyzontiformes, Petromyzontidae. The record is from RefSeq and is a predicted model, not a curated record.